UUGACGGGACCGCACAAGCGGUGGAUGAUGUGGUUUAAUUCGAUGCAACGCGAAAACCUUACCCACCUUUGACAUGUACGGAAUCCUUUAGAGAUAGAGGAGUGCUCGAAAGAGAGCCGUAACACAGGUGCUGCAUGGCUGUCGUCAGCUCGUGUCGUGAGAUGUUGGGUUAAGUCCCGCAACGAGCGCAACCCUUGUCAUUAGUUGCUACAUUCAGUUGGGCACUCUAAUGAGACUGCCGGUGACAAACCGGAGGAAGGUGGGGAUAACGUCAAGUCCUCAUGGCCCUUAUGGCCAGGGCUUCACACGUAAUACAAUGGUCGGUACAGAGGGUUGCCAAGCCGCGAGGUGGAGCCAAUCCCAGAAAGCCGAUCGUAGUCCGGAUCGCAGUCUGCAACUCGACUGCGUGAAGUCGGAAUCGCUAGUAAUCGUGGAUCAGAAUGUCACGGUGAAUACGUUCCCGGGUCUU
RNAcentral lists this ribosomal RNA (469 nucleotides) under uncultured Rhodoferax sp. RNAcentral's name for it is "bacterial SSU rRNA". It matches the Rfam family "Bacterial small subunit ribosomal RNA", at positions 910 to 1382 of the family's 1533-position model. Lineage: Bacteria; Pseudomonadati; Pseudomonadota; Betaproteobacteria; Burkholderiales; Comamonadaceae. The record is from RNAcentral.